Molecule: non-coding RNA, 45 nt
Filed under: Schistosoma mattheei
Lineage: Eukaryota; Metazoa; Platyhelminthes; Trematoda; Strigeidida; Schistosomatidae
Source: RNAcentral
ACCUUGCUGACGAGUGCCAGGUAGCACGAAACCCGGGUCCAGCGU